AGAACGAACGCUGGCGGCAUGCCUAAUACAUGCAAGUCGAACGAACUCUUCGGAGUUAGUGGCGCACGGGUGCGUAACGCGUGGGAAUCUGCCCCUUGGUUCGGAAUAACAGUUGGAAACGACUGCUAAUACCGGAUGAUGACGAAAGUCCAAAGAUUAUCGCCAAGGGAUGAGCCCGCGUAGGAUUAGCUAGUUGGUGAGGUAAAGGCUCACCAAGGCAACGAUCCUUAGCUGGUCUGAGAGGAUGAUCAGCCACACUGGGACUGAGACACGGCCCAGACUCCUACGGGGAGCAGCAGUAGGGAAUACUUGGACAAAGUGGGCGCGAAAGCCCUGAAUCCCAGACAAUGCCCGGCGUUGAGUGAGUAGAAGGCCGUUAAGGGGUUGGUAAAGUCGUACCUUUUACCCGAAGUAUAGAUAAUAGAC
This 426-nucleotide ribosomal RNA is filed under the name uncultured soil bacterium. RNAcentral's name for it is "bacterial SSU rRNA". It matches the Rfam family "Bacterial small subunit ribosomal RNA", at positions 26 to 464 of the family's 1533-position model. The record is from RNAcentral.